RNAcentral lists this long non-coding RNA (6128 nucleotides) under Monomorium pharaonis (pharaoh ant). Its description in RNAcentral is "uncharacterized LOC114253761". The record is from RNAcentral. Lineage: Eukaryota; Metazoa; Arthropoda; Insecta; Hymenoptera; Formicidae.
AUCCAAACGCGGACCGGAGCGACGGUGACAGCGGCGCGCUGGCCGUGCGAGACAAAAAUCGGCUAACGCCGCCGCCGCCGCUGCUGCUGUUGCUGCCGUUUCGCACGUAACCGCCGCAUCCGCCCGUAUUGCAAACCGCCCCGGACGGAGAAAGAAAGAGAACGUCCGUCGCGUAGACGCGACUUUGACUGUGGCGCGACCGACCGACCGAUCAACGGGCGAGGUCCUCGAGCGCGGCUCGACCCGACCCGAUCCGACCGGACCGGCCCGGCGCAGCCGACGACGGCCUUUUUGUGGUUAUGGCCGCAGCAGACGCGCCGGUCGGCCAUUGCUGCCCGGCUCUCUCCGUGAUACGCCUCCUUUCUCGCGCAAGCGGCGCGGCGCCCGGAAGAGUCUCGCGGCGUCGUCCUCGUCGUCGUCGUCGUCAUCGUAGUAGUCAUCGUCUUCUUCCCACGAUCUCGUCUUCCCGUCCCGUCUCUCCUCGCCCCGGCUCUCGGCCACCGUAUCACGGACUCGCGCUCGUCCGACUCGUCACGGCAUCGUCUUUCGGAGACGUGUUAGCCAGUCGCGUGCGGAUUCCGCGGCGACAGCGCGCCGACGGGGGGACUCGCCGUCCGCUUCUAGGAAGCGUAUGAUUCACUUCCACAUCAGCGAGCCGAUCGGCGGUGACGAGGGAGAAUCGCGCGUCACCGCGGCGUGAGAUCGCGCUUUUACGCCUGGGAGAUUGCAUUCUCUCCCCCCCCCCUCUCUCUCUCUCUCUCUCUGUCUUUUUUGUCCCUCUUUCUCCAUGUCUCUGUCCGUCCUCCUCCUCCUCCUCCUCCUUUUCCUCAUCUCCCCCCUCCCCUUGCCUACUGUACGUUGCACCCGAUUGCAACCGGUGUCACUCUCGCGAGUCCGGUCCUACGAGGACGCGUGGUCACUCGUCGCGGUUUAUCGCGCGAGAUAUAUAGGUUUCUAUAAAUAUUAAAUUCGAUUUAACCUCAGAGCUCUCUUCGGCUCUCCGUCCGCGGGAAAGGAACGGGUGAUAUCCCCCCUCGAUUUAUUUAUUCCGGCGCGAGCGUCACGAACGCGCUUCCGAAAUUUCCGACACACUCGCGGGGAAUUAUAUGCGCUCGCGAGGAGUUUUACUUUCGAACGUCGCGACGAUCGCCCGCGAUAACACGACGUAAAAGAGGAGACACUCGCACGCUCAACUCGACCAGCUCGAGCGGUGCGUAACCUGUGACAACGUUGGAGAAAGGAAGACGAUGUCGAGGUUGCCAUAUUAAAAAUAUAACAGCCGAAGGGGGCGGAGAGACACGAUGCAUUCCUGAAACGGCAAUCCUCGAAUUCCCCGGGUUUAUCUCCCGUGUGAACUCAAGGAGGGCGUCGACGGGCCUACUGUACACAAUACUAUCGUGAUAAUAUCAUGUUUCGUUCCUGUCGAACGUCGGGAGAGCGGCGAGAUUCGCCGCGUGUUUUAUUUCGGCUGCGCGCUGCGAAUCACGUGUGCUGCCGGCCACUUCUCCCCGUUCUUCCGAACUCCUUGGUUGCGGCUCCCACUGGGAUCGUCGACGAUCGCCCGACUACGGAAAUCGGUGACGAUUGGUUACCAUCGACGGCGGGGAAACUCGCUGAAUUCAAGUGUGUAAAAAAAAUGCCCCAUUCGGGUGUGUAUGCAUCGAGAAAAAGAAAGUAGUUAAUUUGGUUAAACUUUUCAACUUGAUUAAAUUUCUUUAGUUCAAGUCUUUAUGUAUUCAACUUAAAUACUUGAACUUUAAUUCAAGUAUCUAUGUAUUUGACUGAAAUAUAUAAAUACUUGAAAUGAAGACAUUUAAUUGAGUUGAAGUCAAAUUAACAAUUUUCCGUGUAAAAUUAGCACACUACAGCAUAAAGAGAAGAAUCUAUACAAUUAAACAUGUAAUAGUUUACUACACUAAAACAACCGGCAUUAAAUGUAUGCCUAUUCCUACCUUUUUUUUGUUUUUAUUUUUAAUUUCUUUAAUAUUCAAAUAAUUAAUCCGAGAAUUGAGAUCCGACAAAAAUUAUUUUAACAAUAUCAAAAUCUUUAAAAGGUCGCCAGUAAUGGUUUGCAAUAAUUGAGGCGAAAUUAACGACGACGCAACUGGCACAAUUUAUUAAAAUUCCAAAUAGUUACAACGUUUCGGCCUUCACUUUGGGCCCUUCUCAGUAACAUUCAACCACUAUAAAUUUGUGAUUCGUGUCAGCGGAUCAUGAUUUAAAGUGUUGUUACAGGAGAACGAAGGAACAAUAAGUAUCGCACCGAGUAACGGAAAAAAAAUUGAAUAUAUUAACAAAGCACAUAAUGCGAAAAAACAAUGCACGUCUUUACUGAAAGGCAGUAACUGUCAGACUUAAUUAAAAAAUUAUUUUAAUUUAAUCUACAAAUCUGAAAUCAUUUGAUCGGAUCAUUUUGAUGGGUUUGGUUGUUCUAGUGUUAAUGUUUUGCUUUAAAUUAAAUUGCACACACACGAAUGAGUUUUCUUUUUGAAUUGCAGGUGUUUAAUCUGCGUUUGUCACAAUCAAUCAAAAUCGGAUCGGUUUAUAUGAUAUAAAGAAUCUUAUUUGAGAAUCUCUCGUCUCAAUCUCGAUGUCAAUCUCCGUUGUAUUGCGAUUGAACGAAUCGAUCACGUGUCUUGCAUUACCCUUACCGCAAUCGGCCUUUGGAACCGUGAUGAUUUCUGUAGGAAGCACGAUUUUGCCAAACAUUUCGAAAGUUAAAGUCGAUUUAUUAUUAACUGUUCGCUCAAGUUCACCUGGCACUCUGCUCUUUCCGCGACGCCUGUUACUGAUACAAAUAACGAUUUAACAAGAACUUUCUUAAUAAUAAUAAUGAAGAUUUAACAAGAGUUUAAUUUCAAACAUUUAGUAAGUCAGUUUCGUUACGUUACAUAAUAUUGACAUACUAACGAAAAUGCUAUUAAAAUAAUAAACCGAACUCAUUUCAAAAAUUUUAUUUUAUUAAAGAAUUUUUCGCCAAUUUCUUUUUUUUUUAAUUGACGCUGGAAGAGUCUCUGGCACCGAUAAACGCUUGUUUUUAUUUUCGUCAUACUUGAUAGCGCUUCUCAUAGUUAACAGCGACACGAAAAGCCAAGGCUACUUUCCUCCGGCGCGAAUUCGGCGAGCGUUCGGUUAAUAGGUAUGCCGCAAAAAGUUGCAACCUCGCGCGAAUUCGCGAGGAUGGCGUUCUUUUUAUCAAAACCACUUGCGACUCGCGUGGAUAUAAAUAAGACCGUGACUCGGUGCGGCUUAUCGCGUAUCGUAUCGUUCCCCGCCUCACCGUUUCCCGUGCCCGUGUGAUUAAGCACGACCUUAACCCUCUCGUAGGAUUGCCUCCGCGACGCCUUUUCCUUCUCCCACGAAGGAAUUUACAUAUCCAUGGGAAUAAUUAUAGAGCGACGUGGUAUGUCGUCUCGACACCAUGUAAAAACUUAUUAUCCGUGUACAAGGUGUCUCAGGAACGCAUCGUUCUCUUAUCGACGCCUACAGUCUCUCUGGCCGACUUUAUCCUGGCAAAAGCGUCGAUAGAUUUUCGAGCGCUCGAGAAAGUAGAACUCGAGUAUCAACGCCAACAAGAGAUUCUUUAAUUAAUUUUGAAUGAAAGUUAUCCUAAAGUUCUAGCGUAAUUACGAACGGUACGUGAUACAAAAACGUUGGAAAGUUGCGACAAAAGGAAAAGUGGUUUCUAAAAUAUUCCAUGUAUGAUUCAUCACACGAACAAGAUUGUGAUUGAGAUAACUUGACAAUUGGAAUUCGCAGCACACACACAAACGUUGGGGCGUGUGGCAAAAUUAAAUCGCGUUCUGAAACUUUCCGACAUUCACAACGAAAGAAGAAUACAUAUCGGGCCGUUAGCCUUUUUUUUUUCGUUGAUAUUAGUUUUUUGCCCUGGAACGUUCACCUCGGCACUCCUCGCGAAACUGUCCCCUCUUCUCCAAUCUGCUAGCCUCCCUCCUCCGCUCCCUGGGUAUUCCUCGUGCAGCACCUCGGCGCGCCUCGACGAUGACAGUGAACUAGAGAGAGGCGCGAUGCACGGCGCAGCGGUUCGCCGGUAGUUACGGGAGAGGGAAAAAUUCAAUGAGCCUGUGUAAGGAGGUCGGUUAUUUUCUUGCGGGCCAGCGACUCUCGAAGUUCACUGACGUCUCGGCGACGGCGGCCGGUUGAUUAAACUUCUCUUCGGCCAUCCUCUUAUCGUGUCACCCCCUCGAAAACGACGUUGCCUCGCGAUCGACCGCUCGAAGAUGGGAAGAAAGAACGACUCCAAUCGCGUCCGUUCAGCAGACGUUCGUUUUACGCGUCGUUCUUUCGGAAGGUUUGAAAUUUAUCGAGUUACACGUCCAAAGCUUACGAAUUGGAGAUUGUAAUUCUGUUAGAUAACUUUUCACAUAAAUAAAAAGAUGUCUUGCAUUUCUUCGAAAGAAUAUCUUUUAGGGAUGUAAAAUAUUUUAUCUGAAGAUGCUUUGGAGAUAUCUUUCAGAAAUUGCAUUUUAAAAAUAAAGAUAUCUUUUAAGAUAUUGAAGAUAUCUUUAAUAACACGUUCAUAAGACGUCAACGUUUUAUGAAUUUAGUUUUUACUGAUAAAAUUUUAAAAUUUACGAUAAUUAUACGAGCUAUAAUUUUUAUCUGUUUUCGUCUCGGUCGAUCGAAAGUUUAAUUUUCAAUUUAUAAUCCUUGCUUCUCCAGCUGAGCUUAAACACAUACGUAUUUCCUUAUCGGGUAUAGAAAGGGCAGGAAAAUACAACAAGACACAUACUUGUUGAUGAAUCAUCCACGGUUUGACCUUGUACGUGCAGCUCGCGUCGCGAAGGGUACAACACGCCCCAGAAGUGGCGGUCCCCCUCGGCGUCAUCCCUUUAACCGGCGUCCCCUGUCGCCACCCUCCCCCCCCCCCCUCCGCUCCUCCGUCGGGAUAUCGACCCAGAAAUUGCAUCCUCCGCGUUCUCGCCGGCUACCCUCCAACCGCCGUUUCUCGCAGGACCCCCUCUCGCACUCCGAUUCACAUCCGCCGCGCGCGUUCCUUCGGUCAUGUGGAACGAGCGGCGAUACAUUAGCACGGGUGUCGGCUAUCGAGGACGUCGUAUUUGAGCGCCUCGUGCACAUAAUUGACGAUCAUGAAUGCGCAUCGCGAAUAUUCAUUUGCUUCCGCGAAAUUCGAGCUGACGUCGAGGCGACGUUGUAAUUUUUAACGAGUCCCUCGAACGCCGCUCGAUACCACCGGCACAGAGAAAUGAAAAAUUUACAUCUACAAUUUGGACUUGACGAUUUUUCAGAGUUUUAAUGUGGUAUCUCUUGCAGCUCGAAGACAGUAAUUUUUGUCCAUAGUCGAAUGCUGCUAAGAAAAAAUAAGCAAAUGACGCGACAGACCAAGUGACAUGUUCACCCUUUGAGUGCCAAUUUUACUUUCAUGCCAUUUUUGCCUGAAGUGAGAGAAAUCGUAGCAUUGUGAAACAUUGUAUUCUUUUAGAAUGAGCGACAAAAAAAUCUCGAAGGAACAAUCAUUUCUCGUGGCCAAAAUACCUGUUUACAAUUUUGAUAUUCAAAACUAUCACUCUUCUUUCUUGAGUUUGAAUCUUUUUUAUUAAACGAUACAAUUUAAAGUUGAGAUUGAAAAUGGUGAAAGUAUUUUGACCACUGAAGGUUGUCCUCUCUAGUCCUGUUUGUGCUCUGAUACCCGAAGGUAAUGGGACGUCGCGGUCGUAUUUCACGAAUUUCCACGGUGCGGAGAGAGGAGAAACGGACCGGCCCGAAAGUUCGUAGCGCGCGGCACGUGCCCGGAGAGCCAGGGGAUAACUUUAGAAGUGGAUCGUCGGAUCUCUUUUAGCGUCGGGAUUCGCGCGUGGGAAGAAUUUAUUUCGGUAGCGUCCCCCACGUAUUUUGCCCGCGAAAUGGGCUUAAACGGCCCGACUGACACGGGCAGCGCGCGACGUGUGCCGAUUGCUGAAUGCCGCGUUAUCAUAUUGACGCGAGACGGUCAUGCUGUCUGUGUACCAAUCAACCUGGCCGGCAUAUGGCCAGUCGAACUGUCGUUGAAAUUCAUGCGACUUUUUGCACGGCUGUACGCCGUUGCAAAAUGACAUCGAAUAAACUCGCGGUUCUAUAUAUUCAAUCCGUUUCGUAAUAAAAUAAAA